RNAcentral lists this ribosomal RNA (253 nucleotides) under uncultured bacterium. RNAcentral describes it as "partial 16S ribosomal RNA". It matches the Rfam family "Bacterial small subunit ribosomal RNA", at positions 524 to 776 of the family's 1533-position model. The record is from RNAcentral.
UACGGAGGGUGCAAGCGUUAUCCGGAAUCAUUGGGUUUAAAGGGUCCGCAGGCGGACUUAUAAGUCAGUGGUGAAAGCCUACAGCUUAACUGUAGAACUGCCAUUGAUACUGUAAGUCUUGAAUUCGGUCGAAGUGGGCGGAAUGUAUAGUGUAGCGGUGAAAUGCUUAGAUAUUACACAGAACACCGAUAGCGAAGGCAGCUCACUAGGCCUGGAUUGACGCUCAGGGACGAAAGCGUGGGGAUCAAACAGG